Otolemur garnettii (small-eared galago) is the source of this 104-nucleotide small nucleolar RNA. NCBI's taxonomy places the organism in Eukaryota, Metazoa, Chordata, Mammalia, Primates, Galagidae. The record is from Ensembl.
AUCCUUUUGUAAUUCAUAAGCAUGAUGAUUGGGUUUUCAUGAGCCCGUAUGAGAUGUGCCUCCCACAAAUCUUGUUACAACAUAGGCACAUUACCCAUCUGACA